GGAAGAAUCACUUGAGCCCAGGAAUUCAGGGUUGCAGUGAGAUGUGAUCACACCUCUGCAUGUCAACCUGGGCGACAGAG
This 80-nucleotide small nuclear RNA is filed under the name Homo sapiens (human). Its description in RNAcentral is "partial ncRNA". Lineage: Eukaryota; Metazoa; Chordata; Mammalia; Primates; Hominidae. The record is from RNAcentral.